UGCAAGUCGAACGCUAAUACAAAGGUAGCAAUAUCGUUGUGUUGGAGUGGCGAAAGGGUGAUUAACACGUGGGCAAGUUACCGCGAGAUCUGGGAUAACCUGCUGAAAGGCAGGCUAAUACUGGAUAACACCUUGGAUCGGCAUCGAUUCAAGUUUAAAGCUGGGGACCCGUGAGGGCCUGGCGACUCGCGAUACGCCCGCGUCCUAUCAGCUAGUUGGCGGGGUAAAAGCCCACCAAGGCUAAGACGGGUAGCUGGUCUAAGAGGACGACCAGCCACACUGGAACUGAGACACGGUCCAGACACCUACGGGUGGCAGCAGUCGAGAAUUUUUCACAAUGGGCGAAAGCCUGAUGGAGCGACGCCGCGUGGGGGAUGAAUGGCUUCGGCCCGUAAACCCCUGUCAUUUGCGACUAAACUCUGAAAUUGAAUAGAUUUCAGACUGAAAGUAGCGAAAGAGGAAGGGACGGCUAACUCUGUGCCAGCAGCCGCGGUAAUACAGAGGUCCCAAGCGUUGUUCGGAUUUACUGGGCGUAAAGGGUGCGUAGGUGGUAGGGUAAGUUCAAUGUGAAAGCUUCGGGCUCAACCCGAAAAUUGCAUCGAAUACUAUCCUGCUGGAGGAUCGGAUGGGAGACUGGAAUUCUCGGUGUAGCAGUGAAAUGCGUAGAUAUCGAGAGGAACACCUGUGGCGAAGGCGAGUCUCUGGACGAUUCCUGACACUGAGGCACGAAAGCUAGGGGAGCAAACGGGAUUAGAUACCCCGGUAGUCCUAGCUGUAAACGGUGCGCACUUGCUGUAAGAGGAUUCGAACCCUUUUGUGGCGAAGUUAACACGUUAAGUGCGCCGCCUGGGGAGUACGGUCGCAAGACUAAAACUCAAGAAAUUGACGGGGCCUGCACAAGCGGUGGAGUAUGUGGCUUAAUUCGAUGCACGCGAAG
This 937-nucleotide ribosomal RNA is filed under the name uncultured bacterium. RNAcentral describes it as "bacterial SSU rRNA". It matches the Rfam family "Bacterial small subunit ribosomal RNA", at positions 56 to 966 of the family's 1533-position model. The record is from RNAcentral.